UGCGUCCCGCACGCGCAGAGAAGCGAGCGAGCCUGGGCCCGGUCGUGUGGCCGUUUGCGUCCCGCACGCGCAGAGAAGCGAGCGAGCGAGCGAGAGAAGAACAAAGCGAGCGAGCGAGCAGCUGUAGCGAGAAGAAAGGGAGGAAGGUAGCGAUUCUCGUGACCUAGCCCGCGCGUUUCCCCUGCGACCCCCGCCUCCUCUCCUGCCGCCGGCGAUGCUCGUGACCUAGCCCGCGCGUCUCCCCCGCGACCCCUGCCUCCUCUCCUGCCGCCACCACCGCCGCCGGAGAAGCUCACCUCCGUGCCCACAAGCCUCGAAUCUGGCGGGAUCCGGGACGAGGAGGGGUGGAUGAGACGGGGGAGGAGGAGGAGAGUGUGGGGGCGUCUGGGGAGGAGCAAGGGGUGAGAAGAUGAGAGGGAGAGAGAGAAGAGGAGGGACGUGAAGUGGAGAAGAGGGGGGUGUGGCAGGGCCGGACCACCGUCCUCUUCCACUCCAUCAACAGGCUUUCUCAACAGCAGGCCGCACCACCGCUCGAAAGCCGCCGGUCCUCUUCCACUCCAUCAACAACAAUUUCAGCGGCAGGGAGUGCUUGCCGUAGUGGAAAUGAAGCAAGAAUUGGAUGGAGCUCAGGAUUUUGCUACUACCUUGCUAAUAGCUUUGUGAGGUAAUUUGGCUACCUAUUUGUGUGUUUCUUUUCUGCUGUACCGAUGUCUAUUUUAAUUUAGAAAAUAGAAACAUGAAAUGUGAUUUAAGCAUCUCAAUAGCAGAUGUUGUUAGCAUGAACAUAAUGUGUACUGUACCUACUGACAAAUAGCAGUCUAAUUCUUCCAAAGCAGUGGCUGUCGAUGGAGACCUGGUUUUACUUCACGAAACCAUUUGCUGAAUUUUUUUAAGUUGGUUGCACACCAUGUCGGCAGGAGGGAGGGAGGCAGGAAGAGAGAGACAUGGAGAGGGAGAGGGAGAGAGAGAGAGAGAGAGAGAGAGUUCACACACCAAAUCCAAUUUUUUCUGUAAUUAUUAUGGGCAUGUCGAUUUCUGUUAUGAACAUGGCAAUGUAAUUUGAUAAGGUUAAUUUUGUUCCCUAAUGUGGUGUUGAUCACUUUGUGCUUCUUUUCGUAUUGGUGUGAAAAAUUAUUUCUUGGGUGAUGUCGACAUAGCCAUUUGUGCUCUUGUCGACCGCUCCACCCACUAUCAUCAAGAUGAGUUCAUGGUGCGGGCUUUGGGGUUUUGAGGGCGUGAAAUGGCAUGGAAGACAGAUGGCAGUUACCUGCAUCCUCGAGUAAUGCUUGCUAAAGGGAGUAGGCCAAAACGCUGGAGUUCGUGAUAUUGCUGCAACUAACAAGCCAUAUAUGCUCUGGAUCAGGUUUCAGAAAGAACUGUUACUUUGUUGUUCCUUCAAUAUACAUUUUAUAAAGAUUACCUUAGAACUGUCUGAACAGUUUGGUACAUAACAUAUAUUCAUAAUUAUCUCAGGCUGUGUGGUAGUUGUUUGACACGCGCAUCCACGUUCGUUUUCGUGACCUGGAAGCAAGGCCGCGCGCGUUCAAGCUACUUAAAAAAAUAAUGUACAGUGGGUGAUUAUAUAGAUUCUGUUGUCAUGUUCCUUUGUUUAAAAUCUGGGAACCUGGAUCCAUUCAGGCCUAUCUUGGUGAAGCGCCGCACGAGUUAAGCAGAGGCAACUUUGAGGAUUUCACCUGACAGACUAAAGGUUUUCAUAUGGGGAUAUUGCUGCAUGUGUAAGUAUCUCGCGUGCGGUCAACUUAAAAUGUGUUUGCGUGUGUGCCGGCCUGGCCUGUACAAUGUAUCAUGGGAUGAUGAUCUGGCUGUCAGCAAGUGGAUACCAUGCUGCUCUGAGGAACCAGGCGCUCUAAGAUGGACAAUGCAUGAGCUUGCGAUGGGAGGCUUUUCCUCACAGAUCGUCGCACCUGCAGUACUCAUGAUGGAUGUCCGGGACGUGAUCGCAAGGCACAAGCCAAGUGUCAGCAUGGAGGACCUGGAGCAGUACAAAAGGUUCAAUGAGGAGUUUGGCAAGCAGGGCUGGUCAUGAAGAUACACAAAGAGAGUACUCCAUUGGUACUGAAGAAAUACUGCACGAAUAUGGUUGGUUGUUGUUCCUUGGAAGUAGGAUUCGCCGCGUCCAAACUCGAGAGGUACCCGCGCGCUGCUGAUAAUACCCGUAAACAAAUAAAUCCACCGGCGAGAAAUGCUUCAUAUGCUGCUUCUUUUUUUGUUCGGUCGAUUCAGACUUUCUGUAUCUUGAGUGGCUUUCACCAUUGGGCAAUUCAAGCGAUGGAAGGUAUUUUUCAGUUAUAUUGAAGCUAUUUUGAAAUAGUGAAUGCUUGCAUGAUUUGUGUUCUUUUAUGAAGGGGUGUCUGUGCUUUUGCAUAAAUGUAUAACCGUAUAAGUGCAAUAUAAAGGCUACUUAGAAGUAUAUACAGUAAGUUAUCUACUCUCUGCUUCAUGACCUGGAUAAAGAAUAUAUAAUUAGCUUUUGGCUUUAGGAACACUUCAUCAGUUAGUACCUCUGCGAAAGAUGAAUUAGCGUCUCCUGAAAGAAGAUUCAAAUCCACUCAUUUAGAGGUCGAUCUAUCGCCUUGCCCAGUCCUUCUAUUUUUCAAUGUUGCAGAAUAGGAAUGCCAUAUGCUCAUUUAUUUCCUUUGCGCCAUUUUAAAUUCUACACCUUAUUUUUUAUUAUGAUGAAUCAUCAAUAUCAUACAUUUGUUACUCUUCCUGAUUAUCCAUAUUGUUUUCGGGCAUAGAUUUAGAAUGAUUUUUUCAUGUUCUUGCAAAGCAGAUGUGUUAAAAACUAUUGCUAUUUUACUAUUUUCAGAUGCUACAACUGUCGAUACUAAAUUUCGAAGAUAUAUUCAGGAAACUAAACAAGUUGAUGAGGAAACUGUUGUUGCAGCUGUUGAAGAUGCAAAUAAUGUUCUGUGUGACCAACCUAAACGCAAAAGGUAUAGACUCAUACUCUGCUACAUUUAACCCGUUUCAUAUAAGAUGUGUGUCAGUGUAUGUGCUACUGAACUUGGUGCCACAACUAUUGUUUGUACAUCGGAAAGAAUGCUUCUUCUCUUUCACUAAUGCAUGCUAUUUGACCAGUCUUUUUUUUUUAUCACUGAUGUGUGCAAGUUGAUUAACUAUCUAAUAAAACGAACUUCUACUUUCAGGGUCCAGUAGAUGUUCUGUUUGCCGUCCAUUAAUUCUCUGGUUUGUUUGCUGUUACAUGUACAAGCAAUGCUUACUGCUUCUCAGUGAUCAUACAAGAUAAAUAGCCUUUUCUGUUUUUCACUGAUACACACAAGCUAAUUAACCAUCGAAUAAAAUGAGAUGUGUUUUCAGAUUCGUUAGGUCUUCUGUUUGUUUACGUUAUCCGCUAUUUGUUGUUGCAAACCCUUAUGUCCUUGUUCUUUUUAUUCCAUCGUAUGCAUCUAGGUUGUUUGCAUUGAAAAUCAAAGUACUCACAUGACUGUUACUUUUGCUAAUGAAUGCAUCUUUGGACUAAUACUGGUGCCAAGGGCGCCAGCUCUGCAAAGAAAGCAAGGCGGUAGCUUUUCGGGUAUUUUUGUGUGUUCCACUUGCUUCUCAAGCUCGGUCUGCCACUAGGAGGUUGUGUUGUUGAAGGGAGCUUCUUCACUGUAUCGCAUCGCAGCAGUGGUCUGGCCAUCGGGUCUCAAGAUUGUACCUUGGCACACUUUUGGGCAUGCACCUGAUGUAUUUUGUGCAUGUUUGCAAAGCAAGACUUUGACACUCGAAGAACUAUGUCAAGCCACUGUCAAUACAAUCCCCUUAUUUAAGUCCUUGAACAAGUGGACUCUUAUGCGAUGUAAAUAUCAUCGUUGGCCCAGCGGGCCUUGACUCUACUUGGUAUUCAUCGCUGCGUACCUUACUCACGCAACCUAAAUGACCAAAGCUUUCUAUACGAUGGACCUCUGCCGAUGUAGGUUGCCUCAUAAAAGCAAUGUAAAUAAGCUAUCAUGAACUGAUCUCAUACUUUUCCUAUAACGCUAUGUAUCAACUUCAUAUCUAAAUAUCUAUUUUCUUAUUAGUUCAA
Molecule: long non-coding RNA, 4054 nt
Organism: Triticum aestivum (bread wheat)
Lineage: Eukaryota; Viridiplantae; Streptophyta; Magnoliopsida; Poales; Poaceae
Exons: 5
Source: RefSeq, a predicted model, not a curated record